Molecule: long non-coding RNA, 1196 nt
Organism: Oncorhynchus masou masou (cherry salmon)
Lineage: Eukaryota; Metazoa; Chordata; Actinopteri; Salmoniformes; Salmonidae
Exons: 3
Source: RefSeq, a predicted model, not a curated record
GCCAGUUCGUCCCUUGCUGUCAGAAAUACAGCAUGCAUACACAUUUGUUUUGUGUUUGUUAAAGUGUUUGGUUUAAAAAAAAACGAUAAACCAGUAAUGAAGGUUACGUAACUAAAGUGAAUAGAGAAAGUUGCAUACACAACAUGGAAUGUGUGGAUAUUUUUGUUGCAUUACUUGCGUAGAUUUGGAUAUCAUUUUAGCCACCUAAACAUUAGGCUAUAUAUUCCCCUUUGCAUCUUCAAAGAAACGGGGGAGGUUACUAUGUGAAGGAAUGUGUUAGGAUUGGAAGUUUUCUCUUUGUUUCUUUUGAGAUGGUAUGGCCUCUGAGGACCCCCAAGUCCAACUGGAUGAGGCUAUUAAGCAUCCUUGUGAACUUCUACACAUGUAAGCUGUGUGAGUGAGCCAGAACAUGGGUCUACUGCAGGUGCCUUUACUCAGCUGACAAAUCACUUCACCUUAUGUGAACAUCAAAGUCUUGCUUGUGGUCCAUAUGUACAGAAGCAAGCCAUGCUUGUGGGAGACUUUUAUUAGUGGGCCAGCCAGGAUAAUUGAAAUGCACUUUUUAGGACAAUAAGAAGAAAAAGACAAACACGCCUCUAGGGAUUAGGUUCAGAUGGAGACAAAGAGAUGAGCGAGGACAGAUUGUUCCUCAAACCAGGAAGGCAACUACAUCCACUUCUGUUGCUCCACGGGCCAGUUCAUCAAGAGCCAGACUAGUGCAACAUUUUGGGCCAAUCACUGAGGAGGAAGAAUCAGCUUGAGGGUGCCAGAGAGCCUUGCAUCACGCACUCCUGCCAUCCAUCACGCACACCUGCCUUCCCUCGUCACGCGCAUCAGCGAUAUUGGACUCACCUGGACUCACUCAUCACCUGUUUAUUUCCUCCCCUAUAUUUGUCAGUUCCCAGCUCUGUUCCCCACUGCUGCAUUGAUUGUGUUUUUGUCUAUGUUUUCUGUUUGCUAACGCUGUUCCUGUCUUGUUCAAUGUCCGUUGUUAAUUAAAUGUAACUCACCGUACGUUCUUUGUCUCUCCAGCGUCGACAUAUGUGACAGCUCAACAUUCUCAACACUACAUACAUUGUAAUGGGCAUUUUCUAGAAUGAAACCAUAAAGUCCUUACCCAUUAACAAGUUCAAUGAAUGUUUUAUUGUCACCAGAGUCAAAUACUGCAAAAUAAACUUUUUUAUUAUGGAUAUGAA